GCUCCUGGGCCAGCGGUGAGGCUGCCGGGGCACCCCGCGCUCCCUGACACCGUCACUGGGGGUUGUCGCCGGCAGGGAAGGGCUGGCAGGGGCCGGGGGCACGUGUCCCCUUUUCCUGGAUGUUUGGAGCCGCCUUUGCCUGUGCUGUCCCCAGCCCAAGUGACCCUGCACUCACCCGAGCUUCUAAAUCUCCUCCAUUUCUCUUCCCUGCCGCUCUGUCCCACAGAAGAGGAGUCGACCGAGCAGACAUCGCAGGUGAGGGGCUGGUGUCCAUCCCUGAGGGUCCCCUGGCUCAGGAAGGAGGGAGGGCACUGUGAGUGUCACCUCUCCUCUGCUCUGGGGUGCCCACAGGCGUCUUCGCCCAGCCAGUCGUCCGUCAGGGAGAAGAACAGCACCCCGAGGAAGAGGAAGGCCCCUCUGCCUCCCCUGGGCACCUCCAGCCAGGAGGACCGGGAUGCCUACGAGGAGAUCGUGCGGCUGCGGCAGGAGAGGGCCCAGUUCCUGCAGAAGAUCCGGGGCUUGGAGCAGCAGGAGAAGCAGAGACGGGAGCGGGCGGAGCUGGAUGAGAGCUCCCUGCGCUCCAUGGAGAAGCAGAUCCGGGAGCUGGAGGAGCAGCUGGUGGCACGGGAUGGGGAGAAGAACAAGCUGGGCAAGGAGGUGGAGGCUCUGCGGAGCCGCCUAUCCUCGAUGGAGAAUGAGAAGGAGAACACGAGCUAUGACAUCGAGACGCUGCAAGACGAGGAGGGGGUCCCACUCGAGUUCCCAGGUAGAUCUUGCCAGCCUCCCAAGGACACCUUGGGGAGGUGGCACUGGGCAGUGGGGGCACAGUGGGCACAGCCCCAGGUCUCUGUGCCCUGCAGGAGCGGAGAUGUUGCUCUCCAAGAAGACACUGAGCCCCUCGGCCGAGGAGCUGCUGGCCACACUCCAGGGGCAGGUGCAGUCCCUGACCGUGCAGAACAAGGAGCUGAGGGAGAAAAUCCAGGCACGUCCCCCUCUGUCCCUCCGUCUGUCCCUCUGUUCCUUGUCCCCUGGCCCACAGCGGCCUCACGGUCUGUCGGCAGGUGCUGGAGAACUACGAGCGGGACGAGAGCAGCCCCGCUGCCCCGGGGGACGUGGUGCCCGCCAGUCUGUACCAGGCCCUGCAGCGGGAGCUGGAGCGGCUGCGGGCGCAGGGCAGGG
This 1179-nucleotide long non-coding RNA is filed under the name Cyanistes caeruleus (blue tit). RNAcentral's name for it is "lncRNA (ENSCCEG00000003280.1)". Lineage: Eukaryota; Metazoa; Chordata; Aves; Passeriformes; Paridae. The record is from RNAcentral.